AUUGAACGCUGGCGGAAUGCUUUACACAUGCAAGUCGAACGGCAGCACGGGGCAACCUGGUGGCGAGUGGCGAACGGGUGAGUAAUAUAUCGGAACGUGCCCAAUCGUGGGGGAUAACGUAGCGAAAGUUACGCUAAUACCGCAUACGAUCUACGGAUGAAAGCGGGGGAUCGCAAGACCUCGCGCGAAUGGAGCGGCCGAUAUCAGAUUAGGUAGUUGGUGGGGUAAAGGCUCACCAAGCCAACGAUCUGUAGCUGGUCUGAGAGGACGACCAGCCACACUGGAACUGAGACACGGUCCAGACUCCUACGGGAGGCAGCAGUGGGGAAUUUUGGACAAUGGGCGCAAGCCUGAUCCAGCCAUGCCGCGUGAGUGAAGAAGGCC
RNAcentral lists this ribosomal RNA (384 nucleotides) under uncultured bacterium. Its description in RNAcentral is "bacterial SSU rRNA". It matches the Rfam family "Bacterial small subunit ribosomal RNA", at positions 30 to 416 of the family's 1533-position model. The record is from RNAcentral.